CUGAUGCUGACUAGCAGCCAGAAGCUAGGGCCUGUAAGGGAGCUAGUGUCAGGGGUCUGGAAGACUGUGUAUGCUUGAAGGGACUUCGGUACCAGUGGUUCCUGUCAGGACACAUUUCCACUGAAGUGGGACGCUGCACACAUUGACCCGAGCCCACUUCAAGUAUUGCAAACCCUCAGAAAGGCUUUUCUGAUUGGAGACAUUUGAAUCCCAGAAUAGAAAACCAUGAAAACGUGCUUGAUCACCGAGCUUUACAGAUAAAUUUGAAGUGCCCAGUUGAAAUGAGAUAUGGCAGCUGGCUGCAUUAAUGUAUGCUUUGGGCCCACCAGUGCUUGACCAGCUCAAGGUGUUGGAUCCUUCGUGCA
Molecule: long non-coding RNA, 365 nt
Organism: Pseudophryne corroboree (corroboree frog)
Lineage: Eukaryota; Metazoa; Chordata; Amphibia; Anura; Myobatrachidae
Exons: 3
Source: RefSeq, a predicted model, not a curated record